AGCGUGCGCAGGCGGUUUUGUAAGUCUGAUGUGAAAUCCCCGGGCUCAACCGUGGGAAUUGCAUUGGAGACUGCAAGGCUAGGAAUCUGGCAGGAGGGGGUAGAAUUCCACGUGUAGCAGUGAAAUGCGUAGAUAUGUGGAGGAACACCGAUGGCGAAGGCAGCCCCCUGGGUCAAGAUUGACGCUCAUGCACGAAAGCGUGGGGAGCAAACAGGAUUAGAUACCCUAGU
RNAcentral lists this ribosomal RNA (230 nucleotides) under uncultured bacterium. Its description in RNAcentral is "partial 16S ribosomal RNA". It matches the Rfam family "Bacterial small subunit ribosomal RNA", at positions 564 to 791 of the family's 1533-position model. The record is from RNAcentral.